This is a long non-coding RNA of Fukomys damarensis (Damara mole-rat), 196 nucleotides long. RefSeq lists it as uncharacterized. The record is from RefSeq and is a predicted model, not a curated record. The transcript has 3 exons. Lineage: Eukaryota; Metazoa; Chordata; Mammalia; Rodentia; Bathyergidae.
CUUGCUACAGCUCCACCCAAAUCUCCUGCUUGCUUCUUCAAUCCCUGCCUUUCCACCCAAGCGCAAAGGAGACUUCUAUGGAGGAAGAACUAAAGACAAGAUUUUGAAAUGUUGAAAAGUUUCAAACCCUCAGGAAAGUUGGAAAAAUAAUACAGCACUGGUUUAGAAAAAGCCAGAAUCUCAUAACCCCGAUUCC